This 74-nucleotide transfer RNA is filed under the name Deltaproteobacteria bacterium RBG_16_49_23. RNAcentral describes it as "tRNA-Gln". It matches the Rfam family "tRNA". Rfam says of the family: Transfer RNA (tRNA) molecules are approximately 80 nucleotides in length. Lineage: Bacteria; Deltaproteobacteria. RNAcentral also lists the same sequence under 1 other name. The record is from RNAcentral.
UGGGGGAUCGUUCAAUGGUAGGACAACGGACUCUGACUCCGUGAAUUGAGGUUCGAGCCCUCAUCCCCCAGCCA